UGUGAUGCCCUUAGAUGUUCUGGGCUGCACGCGCGCUACACUUGAUGCACUCAACGAGUUUACGACCUUGCCCGAUAGGGUUGGGUAAUCUUUUUAAAAUGCAUCGUGAUGGGGAUAGAUUAUUGCAAUUAUUAAUCUUCAACGAGGAAUUCCUAGUAAGCACGAGUCAUCAGCUCGUGCUGAUUACGUCCCUGCCCUUUGUACACACCGCCCGUCGCUCCUACCGGAUUGAGUGUUCCGGUGAAUAAUUCGGACCGUGACAUCGUCCAGCUUCUGGAUUUUGUCGCGGGAAGUUUAGUGAACCUUAACACUUAGAGGAAGGAGAAG
RNAcentral lists this ribosomal RNA (327 nucleotides) under uncultured eukaryote. RNAcentral's name for it is "SSU rRNA". It matches the Rfam family "Eukaryotic small subunit ribosomal RNA", at positions 1463 to 1788 of the family's 1831-position model. The record is from RNAcentral.